RNAcentral lists this ribosomal RNA (965 nucleotides) under uncultured bacterium. RNAcentral describes it as "bacterial SSU rRNA". It matches the Rfam family "Bacterial small subunit ribosomal RNA", at positions 523 to 1482 of the family's 1533-position model. The record is from RNAcentral.
AUACGUAGGGUGCAAGCGUUAUCCGGAAUUAUUGGGCGUAAAGGGCUCGUAGGCGGUUCGUCGCGUCCGGUGUGAAAGUCCAUCGCUUAACGGUGGAUCCGCGCCGGGUACGGGCGGGCUUGAGUGCGGUAGGGGAGACUGGAAUUCCCGGUGUAACGGUGGAAUGUGUAGAUAUCGGGAAGAACACCAAUGGCGAAGGCAGGUCUCUGGGCCGUUACUGACGCUGAGGAGCGAAAGCGUGGGGAGCGAACAGGAUUAGAUACCCUGGUAGUCCACGCCGUAAACGGUGGAUGCUGGAUGUGGGGCCCGUUCCACGGGUUCCGUGUCGGAGCUAACGCGUUAAGCAUCCCGCCUGGGGAGUACGGCCGCAAGGCUAAAACUCAAAGAAAUUGACGGGGGCCCGCACAAGCGGCGGAGCAUGCGGAUUAAUUCGAUGCAACGCGAAGAACCUUACCUGGGCUUGACAUGUUCCCGACGGUCGUAGAGAUGCGGCUUCCCUUCGGGGCGGGUUCACAGGUGGUGCAUGGUCGUCGUCAGCUCGUGUCGUGAGAUGUUGGGUUAAGUCCCGCAACGAGCGCAACCCUCGCCCCGUGUUGCCAGCGGAUUAUGCCGGGAACUCACGGGGGACCGCCGGGGUUAACUCGGAGGAAGGUGGGGAUGACGUCAGAUCAUCAUGCCCCUUACGUCCAGGGCUUCACGCAUGCUACAAUGGCCGGUACAACGGGAUGCGACGCGGCGACGCGGAGCGGAUCCCUGAAAACCGGUCUCAGUUCGGAUCGCAGUCUGCAACUCGACUGCGUGAAGGCGGAGUCGCUAGUAAUCGCGAAUCAGCAACGUCGCGGUGAAUGCGUUCCCGGGCCUUGUACACACCGCCCGUCAAGUCAUGAAAGUGGGCAGCACCCGAAGCCGGUGGCCUAACCCCUUGUGGGAUGGAGCCGUCUAAGGUGAGGCUCGUGAUUGGGACU